UAUUUUCAGUGUUGGAGAUGCAAAUUAGGGGCUGAAAAGAAUGUGAAGCACGAAGAACAUGGAGAGAGAGUUGUAAGAAAUAAUAUUGGUAGAGACCUUCUUUCAACCCUUUAAAGGCCCCAUAGAGCGCUGGCUAUUCUCCUUCUUCCUUGACAGGAAAUUGAAGUGGAAGGAUGACUCCUGAUCUACAUGGAAAGAAAGCAAUUAUUUGGAUGUUCUAGAGAAAAAUAAAAACCUCAAACUUCCUUAUUGGCUGAGAUGAGACACAGAACAUUUGUCAAUUCAUGCUGUUUCAAAAGCAAUAUUCAUUGGAGCCUGUCUGCACAUCUCUAGUAGCUUUAAUGUUCACAGAAAAUGAAUGUUCAUGCUUGUUUGCGAUCUCAAACUAUUAUUAAAGAACUAAAGCAGAGAACUAAAGUAGAUUAUUUUUCCAUGGCAAACCUAAGGAAAAGUGUUUCGAUGAUUACCAAUGAUUACCACAGUGUUUCUAUGAUUACCAUUGCUGAGAUUAUUCUUUAACAAGGAAAAAUAAUUUUCUCCUAGAGCUCAUUUGCUGAUUCCAUAAAUUAGCUGUUACAAAGAAUCCAUAUCAGAGAAAUUCAAACCUAGGAAGAGGCUUUUCUUACACUAUCAGAAAGGCACAUUAAAUACACAACGUUGGCCACAUUAUUUUUGAUAAUGAUGGAAAACAACAGCUGAUAGCCAGUUUGGGACAAAUGCCAACUGUUCCCAUUUGUCUGAAAAAAUGUCAAAAUUAAUUGCAACAACACUUUGUUUUGAAAGAAUAUUGUUAUCCAUCGAGAAAGUAUAUCAACUAAAAUCCUAAAAAACAGACUAAAGAUAAUGGUGCCUCUCUGAUUUGAAAUAUUAGUUUAAAAAAAUUUUAGUGUCCCAAAGUAUAAGUAAACACAUCUCAACAGCUUUACAUAGUUUCAUAUAUUUUAUUUUUUAAACACUUAUAAUUUUGCAAGCUAGCAGUAAAAUAUUGUCCUUGAUAUUUUACUAAUUAGCACCGUAUACCUUUUAAAGCUAACUGGAACAUUGUUUCAAAUGUAAAUGAUUGUAAAGUAGAAUGAUCAUUUCAAAUGCCAAAUUAGUCUCAAGUAACAUAAGAACCAUUAAUUAUCAUUAUUUUUGGCUUUAUGCACAAAGAUGUAUUUCAAAGAUGAACUUAAUUAUUAGUAUCAGUUCUGCCAAUCUAGCAAAUCAAAGUACCACAGUUUAAAGCAAUAUUUAACCUCUGAAAUUAUAUAAUUAAAGAGGUACAUAAGAAAAGUUGAGAAAUCAGCUAUAAAAACACAAGAGACUGCACAACUUUAGAUAUAGUACCUUAUUUUUUAGAACGAGGAAAAUAAUGAAAAAUUUCAUGGUACAAGUAUCAGUUACACAUAUGGUUUAGUAUAUGUCAGUAUUCUCAUGCUCUACUUAUAUGAGUUUGGCCUUACCAAAAAGCCAUCAAAACGUCCAGAAUAAUUCACAGGGACAGCUGGAAGCCUGAAAUAAAAUUGCUCAGUGCAAAAGAUCCCAAGCCAUUCAUAUAAUUUUAAAUGGAAACCUAGACAUUUACCUUCUAUUUUUGUUUUCAUCUGAAAAACCUUUUGAAAACAUGGGAAAAAAACCUAAUUAAACUCAAAUUACUUCCAGACAUUAGAAAAAGAAGGGAUUUUUCAGUUCCCGUUUUCUAAUAAGAGCAUUCUUCAGAGCUAUGGGGUUAAAUUCUAAGCUACAAUCCACUGCUUACUAGCAUGCCUGUUUUGCAUACCAGCAGAAUCAAGUCCAGUUUUGCCAUUUGUGGGUAACUAUGACAAGAUACAAAAGCAUGUGUUUGCCAUAAAUAGCUCUGGCUAACAGCAAACUGCUCACACUGAACAGAUCAAAUUCUCUAUAAGGAGAGCCGCCUGGACCACAGCCAAAUUCCACUACUAAUCUUUAAGACUGCUAUAUAAACUUUUUUUUUUUUAAUUUGUGAAAUAUAUUAAGAAAUAGUAGCUGAAAUUAAAGUUCCUAAACAGGAGAAGUACUAUUAAACUUUUGAAGGACAACAUUUUAUAAAUUA
Molecule: long non-coding RNA, 2056 nt
Organism: Capra hircus (goat)
Lineage: Eukaryota; Metazoa; Chordata; Mammalia; Artiodactyla; Bovidae
Exons: 2
Source: RefSeq, a predicted model, not a curated record